GUCCUUGUAGUGCAAUGGAUAGCGCGUUGGACUUCUAAUCCAAAGGUCGUGGGUUCGAAUCCUACCUGGGAUG
Trichonephila clavipes is the source of this 73-nucleotide non-coding RNA. The record is from the annotation of a GenBank genome assembly. NCBI's taxonomy places the organism in Eukaryota, Metazoa, Arthropoda, Arachnida, Araneae, Nephilidae.